CUGCUGCCUCCCGUAGGAGUCUGGUCCGUGUCUCAGUACCAGUGUGGGGGACCUUCCUCUCAGAACCCCUACGCAUCGUCGGUUAGGUGGGCCGUUACCCCGCCUACUGCCUAAUGCGCCGCAUGCCCAUCCCUGUCCGGCCGAAGCCUUUUCCUGCCUCCGGGAUGCCCCGGUGGCAUGUACGCGGGUUUAGCCCGCCUUUCGGCGGGUUGUCCCCCUGACAGGGGCAGGUUGCAUACGUGUUACUCACCCGUGCGCCGGUCGCCGGCGGAGAAACG
This 278-nucleotide ribosomal RNA is filed under the name uncultured bacterium. RNAcentral describes it as "partial 16S ribosomal RNA". The record is from RNAcentral.